This 1416-nucleotide long non-coding RNA is filed under the name Lactuca sativa (garden lettuce). RNAcentral's name for it is "long non-coding RNA (LSAT_LNC004490)". The record is from RNAcentral. Lineage: Eukaryota; Viridiplantae; Streptophyta; Magnoliopsida; Asterales; Asteraceae.
GCACUUUAUCUAAAAUGUGCGCCCUCUGUGAGUGUCGCUUUAUGUUUUACUCAAAACGCGCGUUCUUGAAAGGGGGAAAUGAAAUCCCCAAAAAUUAAAACCCCGCCUAUUCCAUGUGAAAAAUUAAAACCCGCUCCUCUUCCAAUUAAUUUAAUAAAACCACAAAGGUGCAAUUUGAAUUUUUCAAAAUACUAGGGUUCUAGAAUUUAAUAUUUCAAAGUUACUUUUUAAUUAAAUUUUAAAUCCCAAAACUUGAGGACAAAUUUUGAAACUUUUCAAAAUAUUAGGGUUUAACUAUUUAAAUUUCAAAAACUAAAACUUUUAAGUUUAAGUUUAAACUAUAAAACCUAAAGGGUGUAAUUUGAAACUUUUCAAAAUUACUAGGUCAAAUAUUUGAAUCAUAAUAAUCCUAUAUUAUCCAUAUCUAACCAAAUCCAUUAAUUUUUAUAAGGAUAACCAUACCAAUCAUAAAAAAUCGAUUUUAGGCCAGAAAAACGAGUUUUGGUAGUUAUUUUCAUCAAAAUCUUGCUAGAAAAUCGAAAAUCCCGGCACCAGAGCCCUGGACUCGUCGAGUCCACUAUGGAACUCGUCGAGUUCAUGCAACUCGUCGCGUCCAUACAUGGACUCGGCUAGUCAGCUAGUCAGACAGCCAAAACUUUCGAUUUUCUGUUUUGGCAAUUCAUAUUUGCAUCUAUUCAACUAGAAAACCGACUUAGGNGAUUUGGGAAUUUGUAAAAGUGUUUAGUUACUUCGUAUUUCAUUAUACUUAUAAUGGAAGGUUGUGUCAUAUCCUACCCGUUCGGCUAACGACCCUCCACUAGUCAAGUGUGCGGUGAGUAAGAGUAGAUACCCAAUGGCGGUCAUUUUACAGGCCGCUUUCUUAAACACCCCUUAUAGACUAGCUUCGUGAAUAAGGCCUACUAACAGUAAGACUGACUCUUUACUUAUACAUAUAUAAUAUGUUAAACUUUUAAUCUUAUAUAGUAUAAGANAAAAUGUGCGCCCUCUGUGAGUGUCGCUUUAUGUUUUACUCAAAACGUGCGUUCUUGAAAGGGGGAAAUGAAGNUUAAAAUACUAGGUGGUUUAAACUAUAAAUUAGACUUUUAAUUUAAUCAAAUUUAAACCAUAUUUUUUUAUGGAUUUAUUAAUUAUCUAUUUUAAUUAAACACUUAAUUAAUUUAAUAAAACCACAAAGGUGCAAUUUGAAUUUUUCAAAAUACUAGGGUUCUAGAAUUUAAUAUUUCAAAGUUACUUUUUAAUUAAAUUUUAAAUCCCAAAACUUGAGGACAAAUUUUGAAACUUUUCAAAAUAUUAGGGUUUAACUAUUUAAAUUUCAAAAACUAAAACUUUUAAGUUUAAGUUUAAACUAUAAAACCUAAAGGGUGUAAUUUGAAACUUUUCAAAAUUACUAGGUCA